UACAGAGGUCCCAAGCGUUGUUCGGAUUCACUGGGCGUAAAGGGUGCGUAGGUGGUCAGGUAAGUCGGAUGUGAAAUCUCCGAGCUCAACUCGGAAACUGCAUUGGAAACUACCUGGCUCGAGGUUUGGAGGGGGGACUGGAAUUCUCGGUGUAGCAGUGAAAUGCGUAGAUAUCGAGAGGAACACCAGUGGCGAAGGCGAGUCCCUGGACAACACCUGACACUGAGGCACGAAGGCCAGGGGAGCAAACGGG
RNAcentral lists this ribosomal RNA (253 nucleotides) under uncultured bacterium. RNAcentral describes it as "partial 16S ribosomal RNA". It matches the Rfam family "Bacterial small subunit ribosomal RNA", at positions 524 to 776 of the family's 1533-position model. The record is from RNAcentral.